Molecule: ribosomal RNA, 255 nt
Filed under: uncultured bacterium
Lineage: Bacteria
Description: partial 16S ribosomal RNA
Rfam family: Bacterial small subunit ribosomal RNA
Source: RNAcentral
UACGGAGGGGGGCUAGCGUUGUUCGGAAUUACUGGGCGUAAAGCGCACGUAGGCGGCUUUGUAAGUUAGAGGUGAAAGCCCGGGGCUCAACUCCGGAAUUGCCUUUUAAGACUGCAUCGCUAGAAUUGUGGAGAGGUAAGUGGAAUUCCGAGUGUAGAGGUGAAAUUCGUAGAUAUUCGGAAGAACACCAGUGGCGAAGGCGACUUACUGGACACAUAUUGACGCUGAGGUGCGAAAGCGUGGGGAGCAAACAGG